This 22-nucleotide non-coding RNA is filed under the name Arabidopsis thaliana (thale cress). Lineage: Eukaryota; Viridiplantae; Streptophyta; Magnoliopsida; Brassicales; Brassicaceae. The record is from RNAcentral.
AGCUUCGGACGUGGAUGGUUGA